ACGCUGGCGGCAGGCCUAACACAUGCAAGUCGAACGGUAACAGGAAGCAGCUUGCUGCUUCGCUGACGAGUGGCGGACGGGUGAGUAAUGUCUGGGAAACUGCCUGAUGGAGGGGGAUAACUACUGGAAACGGUGGCUAAUACCGCAUAACGUCGCAAGACCAAAGAGGGGGACCUUCGGGCCUCUUGCCAUCAGAUGUGCCCAGAUGGGAUUAGCUUGUUGGUGAGGUAACGGCUCACCAAGGCGACGAUCCCUAGCUGGUCUGAGAGGAUGACCAGCCACACUGGAACUGAGACACGGUCCAGACUCCUACGGGAGGCAGCAGUGGGGAAUAUUGCACAAUGGGCGCAAGCCUGAUGCAGCCAUGCCGCGUGUAUGAAGAAGGCCUUCGGGUUGUAAAGUACUUUCAGCGGGGAGGAAGGUGUUGUGGUUAAUAACCGCAGCAAUUGACGUUACCCGCAGAAGAAGCACCGGCUAACUCCGUGCCAGCAGCCGCGGUAAUACGUCGUGACUGGGAAACCCCCUGGCGA
RNAcentral lists this ribosomal RNA (530 nucleotides) under Salmonella enterica. RNAcentral describes it as "bacterial SSU rRNA". It matches the Rfam family "Bacterial small subunit ribosomal RNA", at positions 36 to 538 of the family's 1533-position model. Lineage: Bacteria; Pseudomonadati; Pseudomonadota; Gammaproteobacteria; Enterobacterales; Enterobacteriaceae. The record is from RNAcentral.